Molecule: long non-coding RNA, 1385 nt
Filed under: Ananas comosus (pineapple)
Lineage: Eukaryota; Viridiplantae; Streptophyta; Magnoliopsida; Poales; Bromeliaceae
Description: long non-coding RNA (ACOM_LNC029588)
Source: RNAcentral
ACAUAUGCUUUUUUUUUUACUUCUUAUUUAUCAAUAUAGGAGCAAAUUUUUAAUUGAUAUAUCCAAUCCAUACCGUGGGGGGCUUUGCAAAAUAUUUUGUUAUCUAUUUUUUUUGUGCAAAAUAUUUUGUUAAAAUUUGUCGCACCACGAAGCUUUCAGUGAAUCAAGGGAACAAAAAUCGAUCUCCUAAAUAAAUUUUGAUCAGAUAUUUUUAAAAAGAAUAAAAGAACAAAAAAUAUGGACGUAAUAUCGGAAAUACAUGACUUUCUCACAAUACCAGUACUACUUAUAUCAAUAUUGUCAAAUAAAUUUUGUAUCUGCAUAUGACAAUAUGCCAUAUGAUCAAGCGUGACGAUAUAUGUCGAAUUAAGCAGUUAUCUCUAUAUAAAGAUGUAAAUUUAAAUAAUUAUUGUAUUUGUGAAUUAAAUUAUUGUAUUUUAAUUUUUAUUCUACAUCAGGUUUAGUUGUAUUUUACUUACAAAAAGUUUACAUGCAUGUUAAUUGAUGAGUAUUGUAAGAUAUAUAUAGUAAAUAUUCAUAAUUAUUUAUUUAAAUCUUUCAAAAUAAUAUUAUAAGAGUUUAUUGGGACCAAAAAAAUUAAAAUAAGUCUGUGCUAAAGCGUGCCAGUAGAAGGUCAUGCGACACGCAAUCGUGCCUAUGCCGUACCGUGCCAGGGACAUAACUAUACGCCCCCAUGUCACGGCACUUUAAACCUUGCGUAGAAGUAUCCAAAUCAAAUGAAAUUUUGAUAGAAAAUUCUUUAUACUAUCUACAACAAGUUUAAUAUCUCUGAUCGUAAAUUUUAGUACUAUAUCACCACUUUUUAUGAGAUUUUUAUUUUCAGCCGUUGAUUUUGAACCCUUUCGAUCACUGAGUAAAUGAUAUCGAAAAAUCACAAAAUUUAUUUUCUAGAUACUUCAAAUAUGCUAGAUCAAGUAUAGCGGAACCGAUCGUCGAUUCGGGAGUCCCAUCAUCAAACACGGCUCAGGAGCACGAAGGGCUCUAUAUUCCUAAAAGCACAGCAGCCCUGCUCUCUCUCUCCCUCUCUCUCUCUCUGUAAGGACUGAGUUUUUUGACAGUGCUACUAAACUCUCUGUUGAUGAUGUUUAUGUGUGUAAUUUAAUUACAUAAGCACUCGUCAAGUUUCGGGCGAAAAUGAGCUAAAAUGGAGAAGAUACGCGACUUUUAGUUUUCACUUAAGUGAAUAGUAACUCCGGUUUUCCGGAGAAGCCACGGAGUAGAGUUGGCUUCUGGCGCGUAUCGGACUCCGUUCAUAUCAGUCCAAUAGCUCGUUUCGACCGGUUCAGCUGUUUUGGAACCUAUGGCACUGACGGAAUUGGAUUUGGAUGCACGGAUUUCGAGAAAAAGGGGUUUAAUGGUUUUUG